Molecule: ribosomal RNA, 1689 nt
Organism: Neonectria ditissima
Lineage: Eukaryota; Fungi; Ascomycota; Sordariomycetes; Hypocreales; Nectriaceae
Rfam family: Bacterial small subunit ribosomal RNA
Source: Rfam
UAAAAGUUGAGUUUGGUGAUGGCUCUGAUUGAAUGCUGUCCAAGUGCUUGACACAUGCUAAUCGUACGUUUUAAUUGUGCGUGUUAUGAAUCCAAAAAAAUUCAUUCAUGCUUAAUUAAAAAGUGGUGUACAGGUGAGUAUAAUGAUAUUCUUCGCCGGCCUUAAAGUGGAGGCAAAUCCUCCAUAAUAAAUAAAGGAAUGAUAGGGCGAAUCAAUACUGGUUUAACCGUUAUUGUUUCCCCUUUAUGUUCCGCUUUAAGAGGAUAAUAAAUAUCUUCGAGAUAGGUAGUAGUUAAGGUGAUGACUUAACUAGCCUUAGACUCUCGUAGUCGAAGCUGAAAGGUUGAUCGACCACAUUGGGUCUGAAAAAACCCCAAUGCAAGUUAGUACAGCAGUGAGGAAUCUUGGUCAAUGGCCUAACGGCUGAACUGGCAACUUGGAGAAGUGGCAAGUUUUAUAAUUAAUAGUAAUGAAGGCGCAAGCUCUUCUAUUUUUAUAAGAUUCUAUUAGAAUUGAAUGAAGCUUUGUUUAUAUAUUGAUAAUGACAGUAUAUAUAUCGUGUCUUGACUAAUUGCGUGCCAGCAGUCGCGGUAAUACGUAAGAGACUAGUGUUAUUCAUCUUAAUUAGGUUUAAAGGGUACCCAGACGGUCAAUAUAGCUUCUACAAUGUUAGUACUUGACUAGAGUUUUAUGUAAGAGGGCAGUACUUGAGGAGGAGAGAUGAAAUUUCGUGAUACCAAAGGGACUCUGUAAAGGCGAAGGCAGCCCUCUAUGUAGAAACUGACGUUGAAGGACGAAGGCACAGAGAACAAACAGGAUUAGAUACCCAAGUAGUCUUUGCAGUAAAUGAUGAAUGCCAUAGGUCAGAUCUAUAGUUAAUGCUCUGCGGUGAAAACAUGCCAGGAUUGAAUCUAUCGAACCUGUGCUAGAUUUUUUUGUCUGCUGGAUCUUUCGAAACAUGCUAUAAAAAAUAAGAAGCCUGUAUACAUUAAAAUAAUUUGGUCUAUAAAUGAAAGUGUAAGCAUUUCACCUCAAGAGUAAUGUGGCAACGCAGGAACUGAAAUCACUAGACCGUUUCUGACACCAGUAGUGAAGUAUGUUGUUUAAUUCGAUGAUCCACGAAAAACCUUACCACAAUUUGAAUAAUUUUAUUACAGGAGUUGCACGGCUGUUUCCAGUUAAUGUUGUGAAACUGUGGUUUCCAUGGAAUUAACGUAAUCCCUGGCUUUAUUUUUGUAAACUUAAUACAGUUAUUACGAUAAAGCAUUCGAUCCUGAAAAUUUGGAAAGAGAAAGGGGACAAAGACAAGUCAUCAUGGCCUUGAUAUUGUGGGCUAUAGACGUGCCACAUAUACCUAAACAAAGAGAUGCAAAAAUGUGAAUUUAAGCUAAUCUCAAAAAAUAGGAUAUAAAUUUUAAGGAUUAUAGUCUGAAAUUCGACUAUAUGAAUAAGUAAUUACUAGUAAUCGUGAAUCACCAUGUCACGGUGAAUAGACCUUGGAUUGGUACUAACCACUCGUCACAUGCUGAAAGGAGCAUGCGCAAUAAGUUUGCUUUCUUAGUAACAAGUAAAAAAAACAAGUAAGUUUUAUAUAUUCUUUUAUUGGGAAUCUUCGUAUGCGUGGCUCUAAUUAGUGUUAAGUCGAAAUACGGUUCGCGUAGUGGAAGUUGCGCGGGAUUAAUUAAUUUU